Molecule: ribosomal RNA, 600 nt
Filed under: bacterium Co.S9
Lineage: Bacteria
Description: bacterial SSU rRNA
Rfam family: Bacterial small subunit ribosomal RNA
Source: RNAcentral
GNUCGAACGGGUAACAGGAAGCAGCUUGCUGCUUCGCUUGACGAGUGCCGGACGGGUGAGUAAUGUCUGGGAAACUGCCUGAUGGAGGGGGAUAACUACUGGAAACGGUAGCUAAUACCGCAUAACGUCGCAAGACCAAAGAGGGGGACCUUCGGGCCUCUUGCCAUCGGAUGUGCCCAGAUGGGAUUAGCUAGUAGGUGGGGUAACGGCUCACCUAGGCGACGAUCCCUAGCUGGUCUGAGAGGAUGACCAGCCACACUGGAACUGAGACACGGUCCAGACUCCUACGGGAGGCAGCAGUGGGGAAUAUUGCACAAUGGGCGCAAGCCUGAUGCAGCCAUGCCGCGUGUAUGAAGAAGGCCUUCGGGUUGUAAAGUACUUUCAGCGGGGAGGAAGGCGAUAAGGUUAAUAACCUUGUCGAUUGACGUUACCCGCAGAAGAAGCACCGGCUAACUCCGUGCCAGCAGCCGCGGUAAUACGGAGGGUGCAAGCGUUAAUCGGAAUUACUGGGCGUAAAGCGCACGCAGGCGGUCUGUCAAGUCGGAUGUGAAAUCCCCGGGCUCAACCUGGGAACUGCAUUCGAAACUGGCAGGCUAGAGU